UUGAACUAUAAACUUGGUAGACUGUUGCUGGCAUAUUUUUUGCAUGUGCACGUUUAUCAUCUUUUAUCUUUCCACCUGUGAACCUUUUGUAGACUUGAUUUUGGGACUGCCUUGGCAAUGUUCUUGGCUUUUCCUUUUAUUUCAUGAGUCUAUGUUUUUACACACUCAAUAACAACAAUGGAAUAUAUUUUUUGUUGGCUAUAACAAAGAAAAGUGUAA
Molecule: unclassified non-coding RNA, 219 nt
Filed under: uncultured fungus
Lineage: Eukaryota; Fungi
Description: sequence contains ITS1
Source: RNAcentral